This 439-nucleotide ribosomal RNA is filed under the name uncultured Syntrophus sp. RNAcentral's name for it is "bacterial SSU rRNA". It matches the Rfam family "Bacterial small subunit ribosomal RNA", at positions 942 to 1374 of the family's 1533-position model. The record is from RNAcentral. Lineage: Bacteria; Pseudomonadati; Thermodesulfobacteriota; Syntrophia; Syntrophales; Syntrophaceae.
UGGUUAAUUCGAUGCAACGCGAGAACUUACCUGGGCUUGACAUCCCGGGAAUCCCUUGGAAACAAGGGAGUGCCCUUCGGGGAACCUGGAGACAGGUGCUGCAUGGCUGUCGUCAGCUCGUGUCGUGAGGUGUAGGGUUAAGUCCCGCAACGAGCGCAACCCUUGUCUUUAAUUGCCAUCAUUGAGUUGGGCACUUUAAAGAGACUGCCGGUGUUAAACCGGAGGAAGGUGGGGAUGACGUCAAGUCCUCAUGGCCUUUAUGCCCAGGGCUACACACGUGCUACAAUGGGUGGUACAAAGAGCAGCCAGCUCGCGAGAGUGAGCAAAUCUCAAAAAGCCAUCCUCAGUUCGGAUUGAAGUCUGCAACUCGACUUCAUGAAGUUGGAAUCGCUAGUAAUCGCGGAUCAGCAUGCCCGCGGUCCGAAUACGUUCCGGCCUU